CCUACGGGAGGCAGCAGUGAGGAAUAUUGGUCAAUGGGCGUAAGCCUGAACCAGCCAAGUCGCGUGAGGGAUGAAGGUUCUAUGGAUCGUAAACCUCUUUUAUAAGGGAAUAAAGUGCGGGACGUGUCCCGUUUUGUAUGUACCUUAUGAAUAAGGAUCGGCUAACUCCGUGCCAGCAGCCGCGGUAAUACGGGGGAUCCAAGCGUUAUCCGGAUUUAUUGGGUUUAAAGGGUGUGUAGGCGGCGUUUUAAGUCAGCGGUGAAAGUCUGUGGCUCAACCAUAGAAUUGCCGUUGAAACUGGGAGGCUUGAGUGUGUGAGAGGCAGGUGGAAUGCGUGGUGUAGCGGUGAAAUGCGUAGAUAUCACGCAGAACCCCGAUGGCGAAGGCAGCCUGCCGGGCCAUGACUGACGCUGAUGCACGAAAGCGUGGGGAUCAAACAGGAUUAGAUACCCUGGUAGUC
RNAcentral lists this ribosomal RNA (460 nucleotides) under uncultured bacterium. RNAcentral describes it as "partial 16S ribosomal RNA". It matches the Rfam family "Bacterial small subunit ribosomal RNA", at positions 338 to 795 of the family's 1533-position model. The record is from RNAcentral.